CAAGAAACGAGGCUACGUGCCCCGCUCUUUACCUUGCCUACUGCACUAUCUGUUGCUUCCUGGCGGCGGUUUGCCUGCCGCCAGGGACAUUGUAAAGCCCUGUAUAAGUAUUAAAACACUGAAGCAAACCGAAUCGUA
Molecule: unclassified non-coding RNA, 138 nt
Filed under: soil metagenome
Description: partial internal transcribed spacer 1
Source: RNAcentral